This is an RNA transcript of Rhinopithecus roxellana (golden snub-nosed monkey), 662 nucleotides long. It is a transcript of the gene named cysteine-rich hydrophobic domain-containing protein 2 pseudogene, with no coding region annotated. NCBI's taxonomy places the organism in Eukaryota, Metazoa, Chordata, Mammalia, Primates, Cercopithecidae. The transcript has a single exon. The record is from RefSeq and is a predicted model, not a curated record.
UCGCCCGCGGGUACCCCAGUGCCAACCCCGGGAGUCAGGCCCCUUUGGGCAGGGGCGCUGGGAGGCUCAGGAUGGCGGAUUUCGACGAAAUCUAUGAGGAAGGGGAGGACGAGGAGUGGGCCCUGGAGGAGCAGCUGCUCAAGUACUCGCGGGACCCGGUGGUCGUCCGCGGCUCCAGUCACGUCACCGUAUUUGGACUGAGCAACAAAUUUGAAUCAGAAUUCCCUUCUUCGUUAACUGUAAAAGUAGCUCCUGAAGAAUUUAAAGCCAGCAUCAACAGAGUUAACAGUUGUCUUAAGAAGAACCUUCCCGUUAAUGUACGUUGGCUACUUUGUGGCUGCCUUUGUUGCUGCUGCACGUUAGGUUGUAGUAUGUGGCCAGUUAUUUGCCUCAGUAAAAGGACACGAAGAUCGAUUGAGAAGUUAUUAGACCGGGAAAACAAUAGGUUAUACCACAAGCUGUGCCUGCAUUGGAGACUGAGCAAAAGGAAAUGUGAAAUGAAUAACAUGAUGGAAUAUGUUAUCCUCAUAGAAUUUUUACCAAAGACACCGAUUUUUCGACCAGAUUAGCAUUUACUUUAGAGACUUUCCAAGUAGGUUGUCUUUCCAGUGGUGCCUGGCUUGGUGCUCCCCUGGUGGUGACAUAACAUUGGUUCUACAGAA